GCCUCGGGAAGCAGAACCUGCUCUCUUCCUAGUUCCUCCGAUCGUCCUCUCCUCUGUGUUGGUUGGAGCACGAAACAAACACAGAUGGAUGAUGUGGUUGACUAGCCCAGUUGUACGUCCAUCCCAUCGCCCAUGCAUCCAUGGCUCCAUCUCCUUUGACUUGUUAUUGGAGAGCAGUGCUCCAUUCCAUGAAGCCAGAAAGCGUUCCUUCUUGGACAACCAACCCCCUACAACAGUGUAUAUUCACAGGACAUUCCUCCUUUCAGUUUCAGACACUUGGGCAAGCAAGCAAGCAAGCAACCCCAGUAUAUGACACUGUAUAUUCACAGUACGUACGAAAAUCAACUAGGCAUGCAGUUAUUCUGAAUUGAAAGCGGCCGGCGCUGCACUAGGAUGCUGAUCAAAUGGCAUUUCCCUGCAUCCAAAUGGGAGAACAAUUUCGGCAUCCUCUACUCGAUCGUCUCGAGAAAAAUAUCGAGCAGACCGGCAGGCCUCGUCCGCGUCCAAUAUCGCGGGUAUGGAUCCGGUGCUCUCCCUCGGCAGCAGCUUUAUGAAAUCAAUCCAUACAUCACAAGCGCUUUGAAUAAAGCCCGUGCCGCCUGAUUAUUCCUUGUGCUCAUGCAUGAUUGGAUUGAUAUCCACUUUGUUGAGGGCUAGAUGCGGAUACCAAGGUGCAUGGUACGUAUAGCUAGCCUCCCAUUCCAUCUGGUGGCAUUCUGCGUGCGUGCGUUGGAUGGAUGUAUAGACAUGUAUAUUUGCCUCGCUUAUCUGAUCGCCCGG
RNAcentral lists this long non-coding RNA (780 nucleotides) under Setaria viridis. Its description in RNAcentral is "long non-coding RNA (SVIR_LNC011433)". The record is from RNAcentral. Lineage: Eukaryota; Viridiplantae; Streptophyta; Magnoliopsida; Poales; Poaceae.